UCCGGCUGAGAUACAUCCAAGGAUUGGAAUGCAAGUUUACUGUCAACAGGAAAAGAUGUGUUACCAACAGAAUUUGCUUUGGCUGCAGGUUGGGCUUGCCCAGGAACACUGGGUUGCGCAUUAGGAAUUGAUCCAUUGAUAGGACGUACAUUGGAUGAUACAGAAGGAGCUUGAGGAAACUGGGAAGCCUGUUGUUGCUGCUGUGACUGUGGCUGUGGCUGCUGCUGUUGAUUAAUAGAUGCAGUACGGAGCGAGGAGAUAUGGGCAAGAGCAUUUUGAAUACUCAUAUUAUUGUUAUUUACUUCAUGGUGAAGUCUUAACAGUUGAGCUUUCACAAAGGCAAAAUAGCGACUGGUUUUCUCCUUAAUCUUGGCCAAUGUUUGCGGAGCACAAGUAAAAACACCUUGCUGAAGACCUUCAAGUUGUAAUUUAAAUAUAUGACGCAUUUGUAUCAAUUGAAUCGUGGCUUCCUCAUUGCCUGUCAAACAGUAAAACAGGCAAAUCAGUUGAUUUGUACGGCUAAACAUAGGAUAUGCAGAUUUGAUAAGACUCGCAAUCAUAACCUUUUGAUCAUGAGGCAAAUCAAGAGGCACUGGCCGCAUCAAACUAUGCAUUACUCUUUCGGUGAGUUCUCGAAUACGCGAAGUCAUCUUUUGUUGUCCCAUAGUUCCUCCACACUCAAGCAGUUGCUGAACGAUAGAAGCACUACUAUUUCCAGCCGCUAAGUUUGUAGGCCUUGAAGCAGCGGUGUUUCUUGCACCACUAAGAGGAACUGAAAGUGCUUCAUUCCCCGCCUUCGUAAAAGCUGAAGGAGGACUUGCAGAACUUCUAAAUGUAGACGAUGUAUCAAGAUUAGGAGGUAGAUUAUUUGAAUAGUCGACCUGAGAUACAGGCGGCUGAGUGGGUUGAGUAGCGUUGCGAGCCUUAUUUGUCAAAUAGCUUUGAUAAUUAGUUUUGGCGGCAUUAGCUGAAAGCUUUGUAUUGAUCGGUUGUUGGCCAUUUUGUGAAGUAACAGAAGCACUUGUAGGAUUAGAAGUACGGUGCAACUGCUGUUGUUGUUGUUGCUGUUGCUGAGCAAAUGCUUGCUGCGAGAACGCUUGGGGGUUGCC
Molecule: non-coding RNA, 1109 nt
Organism: Schizosaccharomyces pombe (fission yeast)
Lineage: Eukaryota; Fungi; Ascomycota; Schizosaccharomycetes; Schizosaccharomycetales; Schizosaccharomycetaceae
Source: the annotation of a GenBank genome assembly